CCUGGGUGUGUGGGUCUCCCUCUACGAAAGUGCCUCUUCGGGGUCUUUCAUUUGGGGGCUCGUCCGGGAUCGAGACCCGCCCAGGGACCACCGACCCACGUCUGGGAGGUAAAAGACACCCCAAGGGCCCCCCUUCCUUUCCCCCUCUAACCGCCCGCCGCCGCCCCCGCCAGAGGCAGAAGCGGCCGCCGCCGCCUAGCUCCCCUUAACCUCGGAGGAGAAACAGCUGCCCAAUGAAAUUGAUGCAGCUUGCCCUCUUAAAAGACCUGAAUGGGAUUUUACCACUGAAGCAGUUUAUAAUGUCAGACAGACUGCCAGAUCCUGACAAUGACCCGAAGAUUACAGGCACCUCAGUUCCUGCACCUGGACCAAUGAGCAGAUGCUCAGAUAUGAAACCUGCCGCCUGCCAGAACCUGGCCGAGACUGUGGACAAAGCUGCUGGACGCUGGAAAAUUGAUUGUACCCCUUUGCCUAGACAAAACAAG
Molecule: long non-coding RNA, 485 nt
Filed under: Cricetulus griseus (Chinese hamster)
Lineage: Eukaryota; Metazoa; Chordata; Mammalia; Rodentia; Cricetidae
Description: lncRNA (ENSCGRG00015037813.1)
Source: RNAcentral